GUCAGUGCGGUUUCGCCUUUAUGGUGGUGGAGUCUGCCCAGGCUGUGGACCGCAAAUAACCCUGUACAAAGAGGAAUGGAGAUUGCCUCUAUCCACCUAGAUUCAUAAGCUGGCCUGAGGUGAUCUUGGCAUCAAGGAAGGGAUGCACAUCAUCACACCAUCAGCUUCAGAGAAUGGCAGCCAUUUAUUUGUCCCGUGGUAAGUCUUUGUUGAUGCUCUUUUUCAGAGAUUCUGCUUUAGGUCACCCUCCACAACACAAGCGUCCAGUGAGCUGAGCCUGAGCAGGCAUGCAGCUGGUUCUUUUAGGAGGAAUUGAAGUGAACCACAGAACAGAAUGCUGUUUUAUUAUUUAUUUAUUUAUUUAUUUAUUUUUGAGACAGAAUCUUGUUCCGUCACCCAGGCUGGAGUGCAGUGGUGCAAUCUUAGCUCACUGCAACCUUCACCUCCCAGGUUCAAGUGAUUCUCUUGCCUCAGCCUCCCAAGUAUCUGGGACCACAAGCACAUACUGCCAGACCUGGCUAAUUUUUGUUUGUUUGUUUGUUUUUGUUUUUGAGA
This 555-nucleotide long non-coding RNA is filed under the name Homo sapiens (human). RNAcentral describes it as "non-protein coding lnc-ZNF562-2:5". The record is from RNAcentral. Lineage: Eukaryota; Metazoa; Chordata; Mammalia; Primates; Hominidae.